UACGGGGGAUGCAAGCGUUAUCCGGAAUCAUUGGGCGUAAAGCGCCUGUAGGUUGUUUAAUAAGUCUGUUGUUAAAGACUAGGGCUUAACCCUAGAGAAGCAAUGGAAACUACUAAACUAGAGUAUGGCAGGGGUAGAGGGAAUUUCUAGUGUAGCGGUGAAAUGCGUAGAUAUUAGAAAGAACACCGGUGGCGAAAGCGCUCUACUGGACCAUUACUGACACUCAGAGGCGAAAGCUAGGGUAGCAAAAGGGAUUAGAUACCCCUGUAGUCCUAGCCGUAAACGAUGGAUACUAGGUGUUGCGCUUAAAGUGCAGUAUCUUAGCUAACGCGUUAAGUAUCCCGCCUGGGGAGUACGCUCGCAAGGGUG
This 369-nucleotide ribosomal RNA is filed under the name uncultured phototrophic eukaryote. RNAcentral describes it as "SSU rRNA". It matches the Rfam family "Bacterial small subunit ribosomal RNA", at positions 524 to 896 of the family's 1533-position model. The record is from RNAcentral.